Colossoma macropomum (tambaqui) is the source of this 885-nucleotide long non-coding RNA. RefSeq lists it as uncharacterized. The transcript is spliced from 3 exons. Lineage: Eukaryota; Metazoa; Chordata; Actinopteri; Characiformes; Serrasalmidae. The record is from RefSeq and is a predicted model, not a curated record.
UAUAAUGAAUGACCGAUUAGUGUUCAGUGAGUAAACAUGACACUAUGAAGAACAGAACGUGGCUACUUCGUGAAAAGGUGUAUAUCUUAGGUUCCCUCCUUUUAUCAACAAGAUGAUGGAGUAGUCUGCAGAGGGGUGACAGGCUGUCAUUUACAGAGCUCCUGAGUGAUUAGGGGACCAUUUCAAACACAGCAUUGGUCACCCCUCAAUGCAACCAACUCCUGCUGUUGCCCGACUGUGAUCCUUGGAGAAAAGUUUGCCUCUCAAACCAUCCUCAGUGUGCAUGGGUGCAAAGUACUGUUCCUCUUCCAGGCAGGUUCAUCACAGCUCUGAUGGUUUGAAACAUCUUAAUUACUGCACUAAUAAUGAAAACUGGUCUUUGCAGUGUUGAAAGUAUUUUGUUGGCAUUUCUCAUUAAAGAAAUUCAAUAAACCUUUACUUUAUUUCAUUGGUGUAUUUCCUAUUUUUUCCAUGUUGAUAGAUGACUCUUUGGCUUGCGUGUCACCUCAUAUUUGGACCCCAGUGACACAGGAAGUUAUGGAUGACAUCUUAAAAAGCUCCCAAAGACUGGUGCCUACAAAGUAAAGUAGGAAAAUGAAUAUACUAUAUUCAUAUGCAUAGUAACGCAGUUUUUCUCACAUCCAGUGGAUAAACUCAUAGACAUUUUUUCAUUGGCUAUUUGAUUGUCUUUCCAAGACUUCAGUUGUCUUACAGAAUCCAAUUCUUAUCCAAAACAUAUAGUAUUGCAGAAAUCUAGUAUAGCAUUCAUACUAUAAUGCUAUUACCCGCAGACCAUCAGAGGUGAUACAUAUACCAACAUAUACCAACAAUCUUACAUAAGGAGACACAUAAUUUCACACAGUUAGUAACAUAAAUACCCCACUC